This is an RNA transcript of Mercurialis annua (annual mercury), 2194 nucleotides long. RefSeq lists it as uncharacterized. Lineage: Eukaryota; Viridiplantae; Streptophyta; Magnoliopsida; Malpighiales; Euphorbiaceae. The transcript is spliced from 5 exons. The record is from RefSeq and is a predicted model, not a curated record.
CGUUUCUUGUUUCCAGUUGUGCUUCUUUCCUAAUUAAACAAAAUUAUAGUGCUUUAAUCUCAAUUAACACUAAUCAUACUUAGUCGAAAUACAAAACGAAAAGAGGCGAGUGCAAAGCGGUGGUGAUCGGAGCACAAAAUGAAUGUCAACACUAAGCAAUGGCAGCUCUCUCAAUUUCAUCACCAGACCAAAUCCCACGUUUCAAAAUCUCAUUUCUUUAAUCGAAAUUGCUCUUUAAACCCUUCAGGUUUGAUUUAUUCAUCUGUAAUAUAGAAUCUUUCUUGUCAACUUUCUUGCUGUUAAACGCUGCGUAUGAUCGUCACUGAUUGUCGCAUAACAUUUUUUUUUUUCGGAGUUUCGUUAUGUGGGGUAGUCACUUCAAUCUAAACCCAAUUCUCAAUUGGUUGGGUGUUCAAGAUUUUUGGUGAGCAGAUGCUUAUCAGAGAAUUUAUCGAAUUCUCUUGAUUAAGUUUUGAGUCCAAAUACUGCAAACCAACACAAUAAGAUUGUUGAGCAGAAGUUUUCUAUUGUUAACAUCCUGAAGCAAGCAAAUUCCCUACUGCCUCAUGUGGUACUUGCUAGUACGCUGCUGGCUCUCUUUUAUCCACCCUCUUACACGUGGUUUACCACCAGGUUGUUGAAAGGUACAUAUGCUCCUGCAUUAGGGUUUUUGAUGUUUGCAGUCGGGGUCAAUUCCGGCAAAAAGGAUAACUGCUAUGGCUUUGGUGUGGCAAUAUGGGGAGAAAUCUGGGUUUGAAUCUUGGAAGGUGCUCUCUUGGGGCAUGGUACCUCUGCUUGGUGGAGCAUUUUGCGCCUGCACAUGGCAUUUCUUCUACAAUUCUGAGUCUCUAGAGGGAAGAAUAGCCGGGUCACUUUUUAUGUUAGUACCCUUUCUUGCUUACACCUGACAACCUUCUAAAUCUUAGAAAUGAAACUAAUUGAUUGAAAUACAGGAAAUAAAUGAAAUAAUCAAAUUGAACUUGGUUAAAUGAUGCAAUACUGGCUGACUUGAAUAUGAUACUCAGAAAUGAGAUUUUGGGAUCUGGAAAAUUGUGGUUGUUCUUGUACAGUCUGAUAACUGCAUCCGAAUAAAAUUUGUAGAGUAAAAUUGUGUAGUAUAUUGUUAUUUACAACUUUCACUCUUGUUCUGGCUAAUCACUAUUUUGAAAGUAGUAUGCAUGUCUUUACAUUAUCUGCAAUAAUACUAAUGCUUUGUGGCUGGUUGACAUAAAAAAAAAAAAACUAAUUUGGCCCUGAAUGCUUAUAAUUGACCAAAAUUUUAGCUUCUACUUUUGACAUCUAUGGCUAUUCAGAGCGUUUUAGACUAAUGAAGCCUAACGAUGACCUAUUCUUUCACUCACUUGAUACUUCCUCGUUCAACAAACUUUUUCUGUUGAUGUGCUUGCGUGCAGUCCGUGCACGGGGAAUCUCCACCUUUUUGUAUAUCUCAUGCUACAGAAAAGUUCAUACUUCAGAAAUACCGUUAAAUGAUGCUGAAACCUGAUUAACAUUAGAUGUACUUAUUUUGUACUGUGCAUAAUUGCAAGAACAGUUGUGCUAGACUCUACGCUAUUUCUUGGAUUGGACCUUUCUAAAUUUGAUCUUGCCAUCUCUAAAAAAAUUCAUGACGAGUUGCAGGUAUUGGUGGCUCUUCAAGCAGCACUAACGGUAGUGGGUAAUGCCACCAUGUGCAUCGCUGCAUUUCGUAUAUACAAGUCAGUGGAGGAGCGGCCGAAGAAUCUGUGAGUGUUUCCAAGUCUGCAUGCCAUUAUAUGCGCCUGAGUGAAAGCCUGUUUUUCUUAUUGAUGAAUCAAUUAUGCGGUAAGGCGGCUUUGCAUGCUGAAAUAGUGAAACGCUGUUAUUUUGACUGAAACGCUGCUGCUUAUCAGCUGGUGUAUCAUGAGUAGACCAUAUGAACCUGAAGCCUCCAUGAUUAUAAAAGAUUUCGUUGGAGAUCGUUCCGACUUGCCAUUAUGAGCUAUUUUGACAUACUGCUAAGGCAAACAAGAAAGAAGAAGCUAUUGGGUUGUUACUGAUAUGUAAACUUGGGAGGCUGAAAAAGGUGUAGUAGCAUUAUUAAAUGUUUUUUUUUUUUUUGAGAGAACAUUAUUAAAUGUUAAUCAAGUAUAAAUAUGAACUUAUUAAGCGUGCUGUAUCUUUUGAAUACCAUUCUAUGGAGAUAAAUGUUGCUUAA